GCAAGGCAUGGUGAUGCAUGUCUGUAAUCCCAGCAGCUCAGGAGGCUGAGGCAGGAGGAUCUCAGCAAUAGCAAGACACUAUGCAACUCAGUGAGACCCUGUCUCUA
This 107-nucleotide small RNA is filed under the name Marmota monax (woodchuck). Lineage: Eukaryota; Metazoa; Chordata; Mammalia; Rodentia; Sciuridae. The record is from RNAcentral.